This 75-nucleotide transfer RNA is filed under the name Nitrososphaeria archaeon. RNAcentral describes it as "tRNA-Arg". It matches the Rfam family "tRNA". From Rfam's summary of the family: Transfer RNA (tRNA) molecules are approximately 80 nucleotides in length. Their secondary structure includes four short double-helical elements and three loops (D, anti-codon, and T loops). Further hydrogen bonds mediate the characteristic L-shaped molecular structure. tRNAs have two regions of fundamental functional importance: the anti-codon, which is responsible for specific mRNA codon recognition, and the 3' end, to which the tRNAs corresponding amino acid is attached (by aminoacyl-tRNA synthetases). tRNAs cope with the degeneracy of the genetic code in two manners: having more than one tRNA (with a specific anti-codon) for a particular amino acid; and 'wobble' base-pairing, i.e. permitting non-standard base-pairing at the 3rd anti-codon position. Lineage: Archaea; Thermoproteati; Nitrososphaerota; Nitrososphaeria. The record is from RNAcentral.
GGGCUCGUGGCGUAGUAUGGAUAGCGCGUCGGCCUGCGGAGCCGAAGGUCGUGGGUUCAAAUCCCGCCGGGCCCA